UUUUCUUCCAGCUGCCGGACCAGCGGGCCUGCCGCCUCUACGGACCAGUCCCUGCUCAGGUGUCACUUUUGCUGGCAGGCCGAGAUUAGGGCAGGAGAGUGGGCAAGGCGUCGCGGCCAGGAGGAGAAGGGCUCUACCACGCCACCCUCCUUUGGCCUCCGAACGCGGACCCCGCACACACACACCCGCGCCUCUUUGGCAAGCGUGCCUUGUCGGCUGGGUUAAGCCGCAGUGCGUGCACACCGAGCGGCGGGGCGCUGUGGAACGCGGGAGCGGACUAGCGGAGGAGGAUGCGGACCAAGCCCCAGCGACCCAGGGCAACUCGGAGCUACCUCGGGCAGCCCUGCGGGUCUCCGAGGAGAACCGAGGAGACGGGAGAAACAUGGGAGAGGGUGGCCUUUUCCCUGUUCACACACACAUGCACGCAGCCACUGGCCGGGACAGUUGACACCCAUCUUCCUUCCCUGCUCCUUCCAGUCAUUCUACACCCGCUUGGUGCUGCCAGUGCGGGCAGGGCCUUGGAGCCCAAAGCGGAUCCCCACACUUGUCCCUACGGUCGGAAGGAAAGUAGAGGAGAGAAAGUCAGGCGCGGCAGGGCUAAGAGCAAUAGUGGCCCAAAUGUUCCUGGCCCGCCUGCUGCGCCACAGAGUCUGAAAAGCGGGUCUCCGUCUACCAGAAGGUGACCUCCACACAGCCCCUCUCCCCGACCAACUGCAGCACCCAAGGACUGGCAACGUGGUUGGAGCUUUUGGGGGGAAUUAUGAAGAAAUCUGAAUAAAUUUCUCACCCUUCA
This is a long non-coding RNA of Homo sapiens (human), 793 nucleotides long. RefSeq annotates it as PPP3CA divergent transcript. The record is from RefSeq and is marked validated. Lineage: Eukaryota; Metazoa; Chordata; Mammalia; Primates; Hominidae. The transcript has 2 exons.